RNAcentral lists this ribosomal RNA (433 nucleotides) under uncultured bacterium. RNAcentral describes it as "partial 16S ribosomal RNA". It matches the Rfam family "Bacterial small subunit ribosomal RNA", at positions 29 to 507 of the family's 1533-position model. The record is from RNAcentral.
AACGAACGCUGGCGGCAUGCCUAACACAUGCAAGUCGAACGAGACCUUCGGGUCUAGUGGCGCACGGGUGCGUAACGCGUGGGAACCUGCCCUUAGGUUCGGAAUAACUCCCCGAAAGGGGUGCUAAUACCGGAUAAUGUCUUCGGACCAAAGAUUUAUCGCCUUUGGAUGGGCCCGCGUUGGAUUGGCUAGUUGGUAGGGUAAAAGCCUACCAAGGCGACGAUCCAUAGCUGGUCUGAGAGGAUGAUCAGCCACACUGGGACUGAGACACGGCCCAGACUCCUACGGGAGGCAGCAGUGGGGAAUAUUGGACAAUGGGCGAAAGCCUGAUCCAGCAAUGCCGCGUGAGUGAUGAAGGCCUUAGGGUUGUAAAGCUCUUUUACCCGGGAUGAUGAUGACAGUACCGGGAGAAUAAGCUCCGGCUAACUCCGUG